UACGUAGGAGGCGAGCGUUGUCCGGAGUUACUGGGCGUAAAGGGUGCGUAGGCGGCGCGGUAAGUCGGGUGUGAAAUCUCGGAGCUUAACUCCGAAACUGCAUUCGAUACUGCCGUGCUUGAGGACUGGAGAGGAGACUGGAAUUUACGGUGUAGCGGUGAAAUGCGUAGAUAUCGUAAGGAAGACCAGUGGCGAAGGCGGGUCUCUGGACAGUUCCUGACGCUGAGGCACGAAGGCCAGGGGAGCAAACGGG
Molecule: ribosomal RNA, 253 nt
Filed under: uncultured bacterium
Lineage: Bacteria
Description: partial 16S ribosomal RNA
Rfam family: Bacterial small subunit ribosomal RNA
Source: RNAcentral